This 116-nucleotide ribosomal RNA is filed under the name Candidatus Azambacteria bacterium RIFCSPHIGHO2_02_FULL_52_12. Lineage: Bacteria; Candidatus Azamiibacteriota. RNAcentral also lists the same sequence under 1 other name. The record is from RNAcentral.
CUUCGUGACGAUAGGGCAUGGGUCCUACCUCUUCCCAUUUCGAACAGAGUCGUAAAAACAUGCACCGCCGAUGAUAGUACAGCGUUAUGCUAUGCAAAAGUAGGUCAUUGCGAGGG